UUCUGAAAAUCGGAUUGGGACCAGCCAAUUGGACCGAUUCAACUGUGAACCGGCAAUACAAAUGGUUUAGUUCUUUGCUCAAAAUCAAUCAUUCUAAAACCGGGCACAAACUGCUGAAUUGGCCAGUUGGACCGAAUUGGAAACCGGCCGGUUGGACUGGAUUGGAAACCGGCCGAUUUAGAUGGAACGACCCCGUUUCGGUUAAAUUCCUAGGAAAAAAAAAAAAAAGGAACGCGUGCUCACUGCUCACUGCUCACUGCUCACUGCUGUGCCUCCCACUACCCCUCUUUCGCUCCUUCCUUUGUUCUUCACUAAUCAAGUAAUCAGAAAGCUCAACUCAGAAAGAAAAAGUGAAAACCCUAGGUAGUCUCCACUGCCGCCGUCCAUCGUUGUCCGAGGCUACUCUCUUCGUCCUUCGGCGUUCUCCAAGUCUCCAACCGCUGUCCGCUCUCAGAUUCACCAGUCGCAGGCGAGCAGCUUCUUCCUCGAGCGUCCGUUGUCUUCGUCUGCUGGAUCUGCUCGCCGUGAUGCUCGCGGUUUCAGACCGAAGAAAACCCUUCUCCAUUCAAAUCUCCUUCCCUCGAGUUCAGAGAUCAGAAGCUCAACCAAGAGAAAAACCCUAGCCUCCACCACCGCCGCAAGGAGCAGUCGUGUUUGCCACCGUCCUCCGCAGUCAGGGCUUGUCUCUUUGAGUCUUCGUCCGCCGCAUUGAACUACGGUUGAACUGGUUGAACUUCUAAACCGAUGAACUAGUAGCUCGAGCGGUUUGAUGACCGGUUCAGUUUUCAGAACCUUGAUUGUACUUGGGAGUUGUGACUGUCACGGUUUCAGAGUCUUUUUCACUGUUUCUCUGACGCCACCGCUAACCACUCAGAACCGCCGCCAAAACAACCAUGCUCUCCAUUGCAACCCUCAACCCUUCAACCCCAUUCAAUCACUCCCCAGGUUGCACUGUCCGCCGUAUCCUUAACCGUCACUCUCUCCUCCCAUCCACAUUCUCUCUACCAUCCAAAUCGAAUCCCUAUUGCCCUUCCUCCACCUACAGACCCCUCUGCGUGCGCGCCAUUGACGCCGCUCAGCUCUUCGACUACGAGUCAAAGCUCGCCAAGGAGUUCACUAUCUCCCAGCGCCUCAAGAUCGCAAUUGUCGGCUUCGGCAACUUCGGCCAGUUCCUUGCCGUCACAUUAGUCCGCCAGGGCCACACCGUCCUCGCCCACUCCCGCUCCGACCACUCCGCCGCAGCCAGAAAGCUUGGAGUAUCAUUCUUCCAAAACCCUGACGACCUAUGCGAGGAGCAUCCCGAAGUGAUCCUCCUCUGCUCCUCCAUAAUCUCAACGGAGCGCGUGCUCCUCACGCUCCCUCUCCAGCGCCUCAAGCGCAGCACUCUCUUCGUUGACGUCCUCUCCGUCAAAGAAUUCCCCAAGAAGCUCCUCCUUGAGCUCCUCCCCUUCGAUUUCGACAUCCUCUGCACUCACCCGAUGUUCGGACCUGAGUCCGCACCCGACGGAUGGACCGGCCUCCCAUUCGUCUUCGAGAAGGUUCGUAUCCUCGACGAGGAGCACCGUGUUUCUCGCUGUGAGAAGUUCCUCAAUGCGUUUGCCAGAGAAGGUUGCAGGAUGGUGGAGAUGAGUUGCGAGGAUCACGACCGUUACGCUGCCGGUUCGCAAUUCAUUACUCAUACCGUUGGAAGGAUUCUUGAAGGGUUGAUGCUGGAGUCGACGCCGAUUAAUACGAAAGGGUACGAGAGUUUGUUGGGGUUGGUGGAGAACACUGCUGGGGAUAGCUUUGAUUUGUAUUAUGGUUUGUUCAUGUUUAAUAAGAAUUCUUUGGAGGUGCUGGAGAAGCUUGAUUUGGCGUUUGAGGAUCUCAGGAAGCAGCUCAUUGCGCGGUUGCAUCACGUGGUUAGGAAUCAGUUGAUGGAGGACGGUGAAAGGUUGCAGCAGCUGGAUGGAAGUAACAGCCAUGCACUGCUCCGGCAAGCUGGUAAUGGAUCUGCAUUGCUGCAUUCCAGAUCCAAUGAUGAUGCUCUGCUACGUAGUUCCAUUUCAAACAAUUCUAGCCUGUCUGAUGAGAACACAAAGCUCAAGAUUGCAAUUGUUGGUUUUGGAAACUUUGGUCAGUUCCUUGCAAAAACUAUAGUUAGUCAAGGUCAUGAGGUUUUAGCGUAUUCUAGAUCAGACUAUUCUGAUGUGGCUCGGGAGUUGGGGGUUUCAUAUUUCAGCAACGCAGAUGAUCUUUGUGAGCAACAUCCAGAAGUGAUCUUACUCUGCACUUCCAUCCUUUCGACGGUUAAAGUUCUUAAAUCAUUACCUUUCCAAAGGUUGAAGAGAAGUACAUUGUUUGUUGAUGUACUAUCCGUCAAAGAGUUCCCUAGAAACCUCUUCCUUCAGCACUUGCCUCCUGAUUUUGAUGUUCUCUGCACACAUCCCAUGUUUGGGCCGGAGAGUGGAAAGAAUGGCUGGAAAAACCUUCCUCUUGUUUAUGACAAAGUUAGAAUUGGGAACGAAGAAUCAAGAAUAUUGCGAUGUUGUCAGUUUCUCGACAUUUUUGCCAGUGAAGGAUGCCGGAUGGUUGAAAUGUCUUGUGCUGAACAUGAUUGGCAUGCAGCUGGAUCCCAGUUUGUUACACACACAACAGGAAGAUUUUUAGAAAAAUUGGGGUUAGAGACAACACCAAUAAACACAAAGGGUUAUGAAACUUUGUUGAGUUUGGUGGAAAAUACCGUGGAGGAUAGUUUUGAUCUGUACUAUGGUUUAUUCUUGUAUAAUUUAAAUGCCAUGGAGCAACUAGAAAGAUUCGAUUUGGCUUUUGAAUCAUUGAAGAAGCAGCUUUUCGGACGAUUGCAUAGUAUCUACCGAAAGCAACUAUUUGAAAAUGAAGAACAGAUCCUUGCUUUGCCAGAGAGGUCUACGCUGCAAGAGAAAUCUGAAGACAGUGAUGUAUCAUCACCUCUUUCAAAAACUGUAGACACCAAAUGAAUUUAUCCCAAAGAUUUCCAUCUCAUUGUGCUAAAAAGUUAGACAGAGAGACACACAGAGGGAAGGAAACAACUUAAAAGGGAGAACUGAUUUUUACCCUGCUUUUUGGAUAAAGCUGUUUAGGUCAUCCCAUCUAUGCAUUGAAUAUUCAGAAGUAAUGAUCCUUAAUAAGCUCCCAGGAAAAAGGUGGUCCCCAUAAGAAUAAAAGAAAGAAGAGGUAACUUCUUGUGAAUAUUAUAGAGAUGUCUAUUCUUUCUUACCUUUUACUGCAUUUAACAAUAUUUUUGUUGUUGAGGUCCUGCAAGAAAUGAAAAUUAAAAGGUAUAAAUUCCUCUCUCUCACUUUUAUGCUACAUACAGAUUCUAAAUGUAUGAAUGUUAGUCUGAGAAGUCACUACAGCAUCAUUCCAUAAAUGGGAAAAAAGAAUAUCAUCACAGAAUGAUAUUCAGAGCUCAAGAAAAAAAAAAGUAUAACACAGCAGCAGAAACAUAUCAUUAUGUUGGAAUAAUUUGCAGCAGUGAAAAAUUUAAGCGGAAAAAUGAAUAAUAAUUAGACAGAUUCAAAUAGCACAGUACAAAGAAAGAAAGAAUACCAGGUUGAGAAGAGAAGCAUGACCCCAGCUACUUGUUCUAUAGUCACAUUUCUGAGGACGCCACCAAUCAAGAGUUGCAUCAAUCCCUCCAAUGUGAGAUUUCCCAUGUAUCAUUAUUCCUUUCACUGCUUCAUGUCCACUACUUUCUCUUCCAUGCAUAGCAUUCACUCCAGUGAAGCUCAACAAACUCACCACCAAGUAGAACAGACCCACAAGCCUUGUCAUCAGAGAACCCGCACUUUUUUUUUCCUUUUUUGGUUAACAGUGUGCACUUAAGUUGGAACCAUUUCAGCAUGUAUAAUGUUAGGGACUUGGGAGAACGAAUACACGCCCAAAUUUAAAUGGGAUUAAACCAAGGUUGCGAGAACCGGACCGGUCAAUAAACCGGUGAGGUCACUGGUUCAAUGGUUCACUGGUUCGACCGGGGUUCAACCGGUUUAAUUAAAUAUUAAAUAAAAUUAUUUAAAAACUUAAAAUAAUCUUAAAUAUAUAAAUUCAAUGAUCUCUAACUUAAUAAAAUUUAAUAUUUCACAUAAUAAAUUAUCCAUUACUUAAUAUUAGAGGUUCACAAACAACUUCAAACAGAAAAUAUUUCAUUCUAUAUAUUCCCCCUCCAUUGUAAGUAUUCAAGCAGAAAAUACAUGUAUAUUGAGCCUUGUUAUUCUUGUCAUACUUCACUGUAAAAUACUACCAAGCUGGAUCGGAUUUACCUCUGGAUGAACCAGUUUGAGAAUCUUGUGGCUGUGGGUUACUUUGUGAUUGUUCCAUCUAUGACAAUCAGAAAACCAAAGACCAGAAAACUUCAGACAACCAUGAAAAUAAUCAAAAUAUUCAUCAUGAAGCAGAAAAUGCAAAACAGAACAGAAGCAGGUAACAAGGUCACAGAAGCAACAAUGCAAAACAGAAGCAGCUACCAGAAGCAGAAAAAAAUAUUCAUCAUGAUUUGAUUCAUGAAGCAGUGAGCUAACAGAAGCAGCAAUGCAAAACAUAUUCAAAAUAAAAAACAUCAAUCCUGAAAAUCAAGGGGGGCUUAGAAAAUCAAAAUCCAAAAUCAAGCAUUGAAAAGGCGGUAACAGAAGCAGCAAUGCAAAACAGAACAGAAGCAGGUAACAAGGUCACAGAAGCAACAAUGCAAAACAGAAGCAGCUACCAGAAGCAGAAAAAAAUAUUCAUCAUGAUUUGAUUCAUGAAGCAGUGAGCUAACAGAAGCA
RNA transcript from Arachis stenosperma, 4781 nucleotides. It is a transcript of the gene named arogenate dehydrogenase 1, chloroplastic-like, with no coding region annotated. NCBI's taxonomy places the organism in Eukaryota, Viridiplantae, Streptophyta, Magnoliopsida, Fabales, Fabaceae. The transcript has 6 exons. The record is from RefSeq and is a predicted model, not a curated record.